CUGAUGGUGAUUCCUGUGAAUCUGCUCAUUGUCCAAAUUUUUCGGAAUAGCUCGGUCAGACCUUCCAGGAAAAUCAGUACGGUAAUGAAAAGUGAUGACCUAUCCGUGAAAGUCGAUCAACUGGCAAAGAAGAAGAGAAAGAAACGCCUUUUACCCUGGUGGUGUGUCUUCUUUGCAUGGUUCCUCGUGUUGGGUACCUGUGUCGUCUCCGCGUUCUUCACCAUGUUGUACGGGUUCGAGUACGGCCGGGAGAAGGCAGAUGCGUGGGUCUUCACUUUCCUCACAUCCUUCGUCUUCGACCUAGCCAUCUCUCAACCACUCAAGAUCCUCCUGCUAGGUUUCUUCUUCGCGAUGAUA
Long non-coding RNA from Branchiostoma belcheri (Belcher's lancelet), 357 nucleotides. RefSeq lists it as uncharacterized. The transcript is spliced from 3 exons. NCBI's taxonomy places the organism in Eukaryota, Metazoa, Chordata, Leptocardii, Amphioxiformes, Branchiostomatidae. The record is from RefSeq and is a predicted model, not a curated record.